RNAcentral lists this transfer RNA (62 nucleotides) under Elysia cornigera. RNAcentral's name for it is "tRNA-Asp". Lineage: Eukaryota; Metazoa; Mollusca; Gastropoda; Plakobranchidae. The record is from RNAcentral.
GUUAAUCUAGUUUAAAAAAUAUUAACUUGUCGAGUUAAAGAUGCAUAUUAAUGCGAUUAAUU